This 423-nucleotide unclassified non-coding RNA is filed under the name Hevea brasiliensis (rubber tree). The record is from RNAcentral. Lineage: Eukaryota; Viridiplantae; Streptophyta; Magnoliopsida; Malpighiales; Euphorbiaceae.
UGAGAAGCUAGUGGAGGUUCUUGGAUGUGGAGUCAAGGUCGGGGCAGAGGUGUGGCACAGUACUUUUGACAUCAAGAAUACGAUUGUCAAUAAAGAGAUGAUAGAGGCGAGUUUGAAGAUGUUGAUGAACACCUCCACGGGAAGUACAAAGAUCAGAAGUAGAGCAAAAGACGUCGAAGCAAUGAUUAAGAGAGCUGUGGAGAAGGGAGGCUCUUCUUAUAAUCAUCUAACUGCACUAAUAGAGGAGCUCAAGUGCCAUGUUUUUAGCACCUCAGAAGAGUAAUUGAAAAUAAGCACACAUAUUAUGUUUAAAGCAAUCUUUUUCCCCGACUCCACUUAUGGACUACACUGAGUGUGUCGUUGAUGUUGUUUCAGGUAUAGACAAGAAUGAAAAUGAAACUAUGUGAACCUGUAAGAUGUAGA